GAAGACCAGCUAACAAAGAAAAACAGGAUGCCGUUUGUUGGAAGGACAAACUAUGUCCUGAAACAACUACUGGGAUUGUGGAUUUCCCGCUGAGUGACAGGCGUUUUUAGCAGUCUCCAGACUUUGGUGCCUGAGUCCUGCUGGCCACAGCUCGUGAGGCAGCGUUGGAGCGCUUGGAUAACCUUAUUGACACAAUGCAACUGGCACUCCUCCACACCCAACAAAAUUAUGGCACUGAGGAAAUUACCAGGACACCCACCAAAGGCACUUGCUCACCCAUGAGUGGAUCAUUUUCUCAUUCUUGUAU
This is a long non-coding RNA of Strigops habroptila (Kakapo), 307 nucleotides long. RefSeq lists it as uncharacterized. The transcript is spliced from 3 exons. The record is from RefSeq and is a predicted model, not a curated record. NCBI's taxonomy places the organism in Eukaryota, Metazoa, Chordata, Aves, Psittaciformes, Psittacidae.